CCUACGGGUGGCUGCAGUGAGGAAUAUUGGUCAAUGGGCGCUAGCCUGAACCAGCCAAGUAGCGUGAAGGAUGACUGCCCUAUGGGUUGUAAACUUCUUUUAUAUGGGAAUAAAGUGCAGUAUGUAUACUGUUUUGCAUGUACCAUAUGAAUAAGGAUCGGCUAACUCCGUGCCAGCAGCCGCGGUAAUACGGAGGAUCCGAGCGUUAUCCGGAUUUAUUGGGUUUAAAGGGAGCGUAGGCGGGUUGUUAAGUCAGUUGUGAAAGUUUGCGGCUCAACCGUAAAAUUGCAGUUGAUACUGGCAGCCUUGAGUGCAGUAGAGGUAGGCGGAAUGCGUGGUGUAGCGGUGAAAUGCUGAGAUAUCACGAAGAACUCCGAUUGCGAAGGCAGCCUACUGGACUGUAACUGACGCUGAUGCUCGAAAGUGUGGGUAUCAAACAGGAUUAGAUACCCCAGUAGUC
Molecule: ribosomal RNA, 460 nt
Filed under: uncultured bacterium
Lineage: Bacteria
Description: partial 16S ribosomal RNA
Rfam family: Bacterial small subunit ribosomal RNA
Source: RNAcentral